Molecule: unclassified non-coding RNA, 200 nt
Filed under: soil metagenome
Description: partial contains internal transcribed spacer 2 and large subunit ribosomal RNA
Source: RNAcentral
UGCCCGUUCGAGCGUCAUUUCACCACUCAAGCCUGGCUUGGUAUUGGCUCCCCGGGCGACCCGGACCCAAAUGUCGUCGGCUGGAAAGUCCCGAUCUCAGCGUUGUGACACAAGUUCGCUGCGUGAGGGACGGUUCCGGGCCGUGAAACACUUCAUUCAAGGUUGACCUCGGAUCGGGUAGGGAUACCCGCUGAACUUAA